Molecule: non-coding RNA, 667 nt
Organism: Gopherus evgoodei (Goodes thornscrub tortoise)
Lineage: Eukaryota; Metazoa; Chordata; Testudines; Testudinidae
Source: the annotation of a RefSeq genome assembly
UCCAGACACAGAACUGCCCGGGCCUGGCUGCUGGGGACAGUUUGCACCUUCACUUAGGAUGAACCUGCUACGGAUUUUCCUGUUCAUGCUGGUGGCCCCUUUAGGUGUCCUCUCCCAAGUGCAGCUGCGGGAAACGGGCCCGGGAGCGGUGAAACCCGGGGAGUCCCUGACACUCACUUGUACCAUCUCCGGAGACUCGGUUUCUAGCACCAGCGCCACCUGGGACUGGAUCCGGCAGCCCGCGGGGAAAGGGCUGGAAUGGGUGGGACGCAUUUACUACAGACCGAGUCAGUGGUACACGAACUACGCCAGUGGUCUGCAGAGUCGAACGACCAUCACACAAGACACUUCCAAGAGCCAGUUCUCCCUGCAGCUCCGCUCGCUGACAGCCGCAGACACCGGCAUCUAUUACUGUGCCAGACACACAGUGACUCAGAGCAGAGCAGGGGCUGGCACAAAAAGGGGAAGCGGAUUCUGGCCACUUAAUUUUCACAGUUUGAACUGUUCCCGGUCGCAGAUCCAGCUAAUGAAGUCCGGAGAGGAUGUGAAAAAGCCCGGAGACUCUCUCCGCCUCUCCUGCAAAGCCUCCGGGUUCGCCUUCAGUGAUUACUGGAUGGACUGGCCGCGCUACGGCCUGCAGGGCAGAAACCAUCGGAUUCCCCCAUAA